This 253-nucleotide ribosomal RNA is filed under the name uncultured bacterium. Its description in RNAcentral is "partial 16S ribosomal RNA". It matches the Rfam family "Bacterial small subunit ribosomal RNA", at positions 524 to 776 of the family's 1533-position model. The record is from RNAcentral.
UACGUAGGGGGCAAGCGUUGUCCGGAAUUAUUGGGCGUAAAGAGCGCGUAGGCGGUCCGAUAAGUCGGCUGUGAAAGUCAGGGGCUCAACCCUUGAAAGCCGGCCGAUACUGUCGGACUAGAGUCCGGAAGAGGCAAGUGGAAUUCCCGGUGUAGCGGUGAAAUGCGCAGAUAUCGGGAGGAACACCAAUGGCGAAGGCAGCUUGCUGGGACGGUACUGACGCUGAGGCGCGAAAGCGUGGGUAGCAAACAGG